AAUGAACGCUGGCGGCGCGCCUAAUACAUGCAAGUCGAGCGAGAAGACGUAGCAAUACGUUUGUAAAGCGGCGAACGGGUGAGGAAUACAUGGGUAACCUACCCUCGAGUGGGGAAUAACUAGCCGAAGGUUAGCUAAUACCGCGUACGCUUCUUGGACUUCGGUUCAGGGAGGAAAGCGAUGCCGAGGGUAUCGCGCUCUUGGAUGGGCUCAUGUCCUAUCAGCUUGUUGGUGAGGUAACGGCUCACCAAGGCUUCGACGGGUAGCUGGUCUGAGAGGACGAUCAGCCACACUGGCACUGCGACACGGGCCAGACUCCUACGGGAGGCAGCAGUAAGGAAUAUUGCGCAAUGGGCGAAAGCCUGACGCAGCGACGCCGCGUGGGGGA
This 388-nucleotide ribosomal RNA is filed under the name uncultured bacterium. RNAcentral describes it as "bacterial SSU rRNA". It matches the Rfam family "Bacterial small subunit ribosomal RNA", at positions 29 to 408 of the family's 1533-position model. The record is from RNAcentral.